RNAcentral lists this ribosomal RNA (460 nucleotides) under uncultured bacterium. RNAcentral describes it as "partial 16S ribosomal RNA". It matches the Rfam family "Bacterial small subunit ribosomal RNA", at positions 338 to 795 of the family's 1533-position model. The record is from RNAcentral.
CCUACGGGAGGCAGCAGUGGGGAAUAUUGGUCAAUGGGCGCGAGCCUGACCCAGCAAAGUAGCGUGAAUGAUGACUGCCCUACGGUUUGUAAACUUCUUUUAUAAAGGAAUAAAAUGUGGCAGUUGUUCCUUUUUUAAUUUACUUUAUGAAUAAGGAUCGGCUAACUCCGUGCCAGCAGCCGCGGUAAUACGGAGGAUCCGAGCGUUGUCCGGAUUGAUUGGGUGUAAAGGGAGCGUAGAUGGGUUGUUACGUCAGUUGUGAAAGUUUGCGGCUCAACCGUAAAAUUGCAAUUGAUACUGGCAGUCUUGAGUACAGUUGAGGUAGGCGGAAUUCGUGGUGUAGCGGUGAAAUGCUUAGAUAUCACGAAGAACUCCGAUUGCGAAGGCAGCUUACUAAACUGUCACUGACAUUGAUGCUCGAAAGUGUGGGUAUCAAACAGGAUUAGAUACCCGAGUAGUC